CGGGCUGAGAGCGCUGCUUGCAUUGCGCUGCUUGCAUUGCUUUUCUUUUCUGAUGGUAUUGCUGAUCUAUUUUCCCUGUCUUGAUAAUGGUUAUGACACUUUUGCUGGCAGCAGCAGCAGCACCAGCCAGAGAUCCCCUCACAGUUUCCUGCUUUGGCAUUCUGCACCGAGGGCCUGGUGAUCUUCACUUUUAUUAUGGAUAUUUCCAGCUUGGGACCUGCACCAGUCACUGCUUUACAGUGAUGCCUAAAAUAGUUGCUGAUUUUACUGCGAUGAACCAUUAAAUGUAGAUUGAGAAGUCCUCUGGGUUGAAAAGGCAGGAAAUUACCUCUGAUUAGCAGUUGAUUUAACUCAGUGGAAGAAAAAGAUAAAUAUCUGGAGAACGGGAAUAGAAGGAUGGAAGAUCACAGGAACUGACAUUUCCUCUGUACUGUACAAGUGUGCCUUUCCCCUUGUGUGAAGGAAGUCUGGACUCGACAGCCUUGCAGGCCUCAAGAACAUAGUGCAGAAUUAAAUCAGACCCUCCAGCGAUCCACAGUAAAAGUUCUGAGAUUGGUCUGAAUUUGAAUACUAGAAUAACAGUGAUAUUCAGAUGAGGGUCUCAGCCCUUUCUGUCUUUAGAAAGCAUUCAAAAAUACUUUGUCCAAGAUUUUCAAACCAAAAAAGUAAUAAUUUUAUAAUGAUACUUAAUUUUUCUCAAGAUUCAUCGUGAACGUGCCAUUGCACAAGUCAGCCUUUCUAACGGUCUGUUAAAAAUACACUUGAGACUUUCCCUUGAAACAUGAGGGAAACUUUAUAUUUUCAGAAUGUUAUGAUGGGGAAGAAAAGCCCUAAGAAAGGUGUUCAUCCCAUCUUUGUUGUUAUGUGAGGGUAAAAUGAGGAACCUGAAGUACUUGCUGCCUGGUCUCCAGAGCAGAGGACUCAGGGAAGUUUCCUCCUUUUGUGGUGAGAUGCUUUCUCAUGUAUCCAAGUACGAAUCUUUGGAGCUUUGUCAUGGUGAUGGUGGUUGUAUGGGAACUGCUGAGGCACGGCCUGAACCUCUGAUUGAUCACCUGAGGCGAGCACUGAGUCAGCCACAGGAGCACAGGUGAAGGCAAUUCAGCUGUGCUGCUCCUACACCUAUUUAAGAGCUGGCUACCAGUAGGGAAGGAUCUCUUCUGAAGAUCUGCUUGGCUGGAGUUUUGUAAGUGAGCCCAGGAUAGGGAGAUACGUAUGUUGAACUGACCCAAAGUUAUUCCUCCUGACCUUACUUGGGAGCCACUGAAUCACAACACAGAGAGAGCUGCCAAUGUCUACAACAGGGUGCCUGCUGGCCAUUAGGCUGAAAAGAGAAAUGAGUAAUGUGAUGGUGCAGGUACCUGCUUUAAAAGGAAGGAGACUGCAAUGCUCAUCAGACCUUUUAAAGAAGUGUGGCGAAUAGAAAGCACUAAAAAAAGCUUUAAGAAAUGUACAACUGUGGAGUCAAAAGCAUCUGCUGGUGUCUGUGAAAAUCCAGUCUGUGAGGAGGUGGUGCUCCGUUUGCAUCUUGCACAGGAUCUCUGGCCUUUCUGAAAGCAUGAACUCAACGAGUAUAAGCACUGAAGUGACAUCUGACCUUUGAACUUGCAUGUGAAGGCUGCGAGGUCUUUGCAGGCCCAAGAAUAAAUCAAUACAUGCACAGAUGUAGUAGCAGGCACAAAUAUUCUAACUGACUCGCAACACCUGUCUGCAGCCUUGGCAAAACCCUGUAAUGGCCAUUUUCCUAACUCUGUCUUACUCUCUUGUGAAGGGGGGGGGGUGGAGCUUGACAGGCAGGUUUUUUUGGAGGGGAUUGCACCUGCAUCCAGCAUCUGGGAAGCAGCUACAGGUGUGGGCUGCUCCUGGUACUGCUGCCUUUGUGCAGAGUUGCAGCAGCCAGAUACCUUGCAGCUCCCCAGAAGCUGUCAAAGAGGCAGCGGUGUAUCUUUUAGCCUCACUUGGACUCAUAAGACUGCAGUAGCAGCAUUGUCAAUGACUAGUGAGAGAUAAAUUACAUGUUUUUCUAGUGCUGUCCUUUGUAACAACUGUGCCCUAACAGCGGGAGGAAAGGGGAUAGUUAAAAGCAGGUUUAAUCCCACAGGGAUGGUUUAUUUCCUCUAACUACUGCACUCACCAGUAGCUCUAUUCCUCACACAGCCUCCCUUCUUCUUCUCCUUCACCUCAUUCCAUCCCUCAGCAAAGUUACCUUUGCAGUAAUGGCCUGCUCCUGGCAAGGAUUAAUGGGUUAUUGGAAUUUGUGCACCUUACAGGAGUCUGGCAUAUAUUCUUAUGAGUUUUAUUGUAAUGCACCACAGUCUAUCAUUUCAUUAAACUGUACAUGUCAUGGUUAUUUGCUGUUAUUCCCUAGACCUCUACAUGCAUUUAUAUCAGUCUCAAACAGCAAUAAAAUGAAAAAUAAAAUAUAAAGGAAUAAUGUCUAAACACAUGCAGAGGGUCAAGGGAGACUGUAUGCUGACCACAACAACAAAUUUAUCGCCUCAUUUAUGUGUGGGUUGGGGAGAGAACAAUUUCUUUGCUGCAUUUUAAUUAACUGUGUUUCACUGCAUGGUAGUAAAGAUAAUAACCACAACAUUAGUGUGACUACUAUGCUAUCAAAUGCUUGUCACAGCCUAAUACUCUCCAACAAUAUAGCUUCACAAUGGAAACACGUACAACAAAAGAGCAGCUUGUUUCAUUAAUUUAUGGGCAUUCUCUCUUUUUUUUGAAAGGCCAGUAUGUAUUUCUGGGAGACUGAUUAAAAUAGAAAGACAUAAACCUGGUAGAGAAUAAUAUUUUUACCGGUGUGGGAUUCUUUAACAAAAGCAUUCCUUCAGGAAAACAGAACCAAGAUGCUAAUGUUAUAUCUCAUUUAUUGCCAGCAUAUUCAGUGACAUUUCAUAAUGUACAUCUGUCAGCCAGAGAUAUAAAUGAAUGAGGUGAACCGUGCAAUUUACCCUCAGGAAGUUCCAUUAGAGCCCCCAAAGUAUAAUAUUUAUGAGGUCAGAAUCAAUUAAUCAGAUGUAUCAGAUGUAGCUGUAUUUGCUUUUCAGCUCAGCGUACUCUUCUGCAGCAAGCUGUUGCAUUCAGAAAGACAUUUCUGUUUGGUAAGAGGAGUCAGUUUGUAUGUACUGCAUGCAGUCUGUUUUGUAAAUCAAUUGCUAUCCUCGUGCAGCUUAUACUCAGUACAAAUGCAAACUAUAAGGGAAUGUAAAAAUGGAUCUCUAUCAAAAUGUACAUCAGGGUAGAAUUCUUCUGUAUCUCCUACUGAUUGCUGCAGCCUGGCUCCAUUGAAAAUGAGAGAAAUGUGUGGGAAAAUCAUAUAUCUCAACCAAAGAUAACUCCAGUAAAUGGAAAAUCUUUUGGAGAAGGAAGA
Molecule: long non-coding RNA, 3370 nt
Organism: Lagopus muta (rock ptarmigan)
Lineage: Eukaryota; Metazoa; Chordata; Aves; Galliformes; Phasianidae
Exons: 6
Source: RefSeq, a predicted model, not a curated record